AUCAAUACUGCACUGGUAAGGUAUGAAUCCGAAGCCUCCUGAAGGUCAACAAAGGCUCUCCAUACCCUACUUCGACUCAAUACGUCCCCGGCGUAUAGAACUGUAACAUGUCUCUCCAAAUAUCUGAGCUUGGGUAUACUUGGGAAGAUGGAUUAUAUGGCUAAAUUGAAG
Molecule: non-coding RNA, 171 nt
Organism: Anopheles maculatus
Lineage: Eukaryota; Metazoa; Arthropoda; Insecta; Diptera; Culicidae
Source: Rfam